RNAcentral lists this long non-coding RNA (1382 nucleotides) under Mus musculus (house mouse). RNAcentral describes it as "long non-coding RNA chr6:108290139-108291521". The record is from RNAcentral. Lineage: Eukaryota; Metazoa; Chordata; Mammalia; Rodentia; Muridae.
CUGUUGAAUGCAUUUAUACAUACUUAAUGAGGAUUUUUAUGAAUGGCUAUUAAAAGAUCUGAGGGCAGUUAUAUUCAGGUUCAAAGAAAGGAUGUCCUAUGGGAAUUUAAUAUUUUUGAACUGUUGGCAGACCACAAACUGGUAUUUACUGGCAUUCUUGUGUUCACGGGUCUAACAUAACAGCUGAAGGUUGCAUUGCCAUGCAUUUCCUCUCCUCUUAACUCUACUUUUGUGUUCCUUUUUAAUGUGAAGCAUCAAAUAUUUCCACACACUUGAAAAAAAUGGAACUCUUUACGUUUUGUGCCUGUAAUGAUGAAUGUACAUGCCUGAUAGUUUGUGUGGGUGCACACGGAGCUCAGCAUGUAUGGAGGUUAACGGACAGCUUUGUGGAGUCAGUUCUGUUUAACCUUAUGUGAGCCCCCAAGGAUUGAAGUCAGGCCACUAGGUCUGUGUGGCAAUCCCUACGCCCACAGAACAUCUCCCCAGCCCUGCACUCACGUUUGGAGGCUUGCUUACUGUCUCACUGUACAACACAAGAUACAGUUGGUAGAAGAACGUGACCAGAUGCCCAGCUCUGUCUCAGGUGACUCUGAGGUUGUUAGUUAGGUGACUUAACUUUCAUAAGCUCAGCAGCACAGUAACCAUUAAAUGAAUGGGCCAGCUCACUCGUGGCAGUUUAUUGACAAUUUUAACACUUCUUGAGGAGUAGUGGCACUCUUCAAAAUUUGUUCUAGUGUGUGAGCAGCAUUUAUGAAAGCUGUGCUAACACGAGCACAUUUAGCACGGUCUGAGAGUCAUGUCACCUAAAAGGACAAGCAGGGCUACUAUAAGCACUCUUUGAAGAAGAAUGAUGUGUCUAUGAGGUAAGAAUUAAAGACCUUUUAAAAGAAAAGAAAGGUUUUGAAUAUUCUAGCCACUUGGAUAGCAAGUCUUAAAUAGGAGAGAGUCUGAAUGCCUGAUAGGCUUUUGCUUCAUUUUGUUUGUCUAUUACAGUGAUUGAUCAAUCAACUGUAUCUUGUAUCAUCUAUCCAGUAUGCCCAGCCUUUUGACGUUGUGACAUGACCCUGUCAUCUACAAAGUUCAUGACUGAGAACUGCCCAGUUGAGUUGCAAAACAACAAUAACAAACUAAAAUACAAACGAAACUCAAAAUCUUAUAUAACAGUUUAAGAAUUUUGUGUUGGUCUACCUUUAUAGUUUAAUCUUGGCUGCAGGUUAGACAUGUUCAUAUUCUUGUGGUGCAAAUUACUUUUAGCCCAUAUGGGGAAAGGGGUUUGCCUAGCUUUUCUGCUUUUUCUACAGAGUAAUAAAACUAAAUAUUAAAAAUAUUAUCCCAUAGAGGUGUCAAAAGUGCAUAUGAAAUAUAAAUUUCUAUAAAAUCUC